This 24-nucleotide non-coding RNA is filed under the name Arabidopsis thaliana (thale cress). Lineage: Eukaryota; Viridiplantae; Streptophyta; Magnoliopsida; Brassicales; Brassicaceae. The record is from RNAcentral.
ACCAAAACGGCCACAAACUAGAGA